This 2322-nucleotide long non-coding RNA is filed under the name Anas platyrhynchos (mallard). RNAcentral's name for it is "lncRNA (ENSAPLG00020004974.1)". Lineage: Eukaryota; Metazoa; Chordata; Aves; Anseriformes; Anatidae. The record is from RNAcentral.
GAAUAGAGUAGCUGGAAGCAAUGCUGGGCUAGGGAAUGUUUUAUAUCUUUUUAUUUGCUUCCCUUUUGCAAUGCUAUCAAGGCAGGUAUGUUCCUAAGAGGAGUUUCUGCUUUUUGGCAGGGUGCUGUUUUCUCACUGACAAUCACUUCUUGCAACCUCAUCCCACUGAUGCUAUAAUAGGAUUAACAUUGUAGCUGCCACUUCCCCCAGGGUAAUCAUAAUAAACUCCCCUUUUCCAGGGUUGUUCCCCCGGCAUGGUCAUUUUCUGGCAAAUAAUAUGAACCCGAAGGCGGUGCAAAUUGAUUCCUAGGAAGCCUGACCUCCCUGUUGGGAACUACAAAGGGCUGUCCGAGAGGCUUACAAACAGCUGUCCCAGGCUGCUGCCUGGGCUUAAUCCUUCUGAUCCUCUUGGGAUCCUGAAAGCUACCUCUCCUGCAAUGCUAUCGCCACUCCUGAGGUACCACGAGUGGGGGGAUGCCAAGAGACUGCAUGGAUGCCAGUGGUGACCCGAGUUUAUCAUAUCCCUCAAGAAGAGACCUUUAGGAUGCUAAGGAGAUUACCAGUCCCGAAGGAGUUCAUUCAUAUGAAAAUCUGAAUCAUGUUUUUAGUUAGAAUGAAGCGCCCUGAAUGCAAAAGUUUGCAGCCAGACCAAUUGGACCCUGGGACAGAGGCCCUGAGUUAGGGUCAGUGGGACUAAUAAACUGCCCUCCCUUUUUGCUAUCACACAGCAUGGAAAGCAUCCCAGAACACACCUAGUGUUCACAGGGGGAGGACCAUGCUCACAUAUUUGCUGCAGUUAUUUCCCGCCUCCUCCGUGACACUGCUGUGCCAGGAGAACAUCAGUUCCAUCAACAACAGUUUCAAUUUGCCAGUUUCUAAGCUUCACUCAUACAGAGGGCCCAAGGACGGCAUCUUCUUCACCCCACCACACUCACCACAGGGGAAAAGGCUUCACAUUUUGAAAUAAAAUGAGAAAUGCGUAAGAGGACAGUAGUAACCAUUUCCCCAUUUAAAGAGAAAGAAGAAGAAGGAAAAAUUUAAAAAGGAACAUGAAAGACGGUAAAAGAAGGAAAUAAAAAAAGAAUCAGAUGGGGACAACAGGCAAACAAUGAGGACGUACAGAGUUUUAAGAGACUAGCAGCAGACUGUGCGGGGCUGUAGUUGACUUGCCCAGAGCAUCCAGUGUCUGAGCAGGGAGUCCCAGCUGCUCAGGACUUGCAGCCACUGCUCUCCCCAGCGCACGUUUCCUGAGAACAGAGGCUCCCAGACUUUUUGUGUCCCUUACCCUCUUCUGUCCUUCAGCUCCAAUGUUCUGCAUUACUUCAUCUUUCAAGGAGAGAGCGUGUGCUCAUGGUGAGGCUUGUUGAAACCCACCACGCAUUCCCAUGCCGUACUCCACUUCUCAUCAGAACAGCACUGCAGCUCACCUGAGCCGAACCCCUGAUGCCAGUUCAUGGAGCAAAUUUGUUCAGCUGUGCUUUCUGAUUGUAGGGAGCAUUUUAACACCAGUGGUGGUAUGUGCUCUAUGGUGUGUCACUGCCAUGGAGUUGAAAAGUGGCUGACAGAGGGCACUUUGUUACCGUCUCCAUGUAGGAGGGUAGCGGCAGGCACAGGAGAUGUACAGCAGCAACAUUAACUGUAAUAAAAUAGAUGUAAAAGUGGAUUUCAAACAUUGCUGUGUUGCGUGGCUCAGGGCAAGCCCAGUUUAAGACAUUCUCCUCUGUUUCCUUGUAAAAUCCUGUGCUUCCCAAAAGAGGUAAAUUGUAUUUUUUCCAUACGCACACAGCUUAGUCACAGAUCAGCUGAGUCUGAACUGGAGCUGGCACCACCAGCAUUCUGCCGCAUCUUCCUCCCUGCAGACCGUGCCAGCACGCUUGGGCAGGUCCUGCAGCACAGGGCUCUGUAAGGAGCCUAAGAGUCAUUAAUUACAGAAUGGUUAAAACUAAAUUAUCUCAGCUGGACUGUGGGCAGGAGCUGGAAGAAGAAGAAGAAAACCUUACUCUACAAAAUCAGCAGUGAUCGGAUGGGAUUUCACAGCAGAAGUCACACAGCUAUGGCUUUGCAGUGACUCAGGGAGCCACGAGGGGAGGCUUCACAAUUUCUCCCCAGUCAGCUCCCAGCUUUAAACAGCGGAGGAAGUAACACAAAGAAUGCUCUUCUUACACUUCUUGCCAGCAUGUUUGUUGCCAGAGCUGUGUGCAAAAAAUCAUGGGAGAGCAGGAAGAAAUGGCUUUGCAGUGCUCAGGGCUGACUUUGCAACGUGGCAGAGGCCAUAAGAAGGCAGAUUUAUUGGGUCAAAGCAGUUACAGUAAAGGAAGACAA